RNAcentral lists this non-coding RNA (100 nucleotides) under Cetobacterium somerae. RNAcentral's name for it is "Guanine sequence". It matches the Rfam family "Purine riboswitch aptamer". From Rfam's summary of the family: Riboswitches are metabolite binding domains within certain messenger RNAs that serve as precision sensors for their corresponding targets. Allosteric rearrangement of mRNA structure is mediated by ligand binding, and this results in modulation of gene expression. A class of riboswitches that selectively recognises guanine and becomes saturated at concentrations as low as 5 nM. The record is from RNAcentral. Lineage: Bacteria; Fusobacteriati; Fusobacteriota; Fusobacteriia; Fusobacteriales; Fusobacteriaceae. RNAcentral also lists the same sequence under 1 other name.
AUAAAUUAUAUAAAAGCCCUUCGUAUAACCCUAUUAAUUUGGUAUAGGGGUAUCUACCGUGGAACCUUAAUUCCUGCUUACGAAGAAAAUACGUCACAUA